GAGGAAAAUCCGUCGACUUUAAAAAUCGUGAG
RNAcentral lists this transfer RNA (32 nucleotides) under Limeum africanum. Its description in RNAcentral is "partial transfer RNA-Leu". RNAcentral also lists the same sequence under 7 other names. The record is from RNAcentral. Lineage: Eukaryota; Viridiplantae; Streptophyta; Magnoliopsida; Caryophyllales; Limeaceae.